This is a long non-coding RNA of Mus musculus (house mouse), 4120 nucleotides long. RefSeq annotates it as predicted gene, 53786. NCBI's taxonomy places the organism in Eukaryota, Metazoa, Chordata, Mammalia, Rodentia, Muridae. The record is from RefSeq and is a predicted model, not a curated record. The transcript has 2 exons.
ACAACACGUGUGGCGAUUGGUCCGUGCAUAACUGCAGAGCAGGAUGGGAGCGUCCCUGCAAAGGAAGGAGAAGACGCUCCAGAGCCCUAACCCGGCAAGUCAGUGGCUACUCAAUGUGGCAAAGUUUUUGCCUUCUAAGUCUUGGCCUAUGAACGAGAGACACCCUUUCGUCCUGGGUCCAUAUGUCAGUACUCUCUCUCUCUCUCUUUUUUAAAAGGGUUUGUUUAUUUGUACACAGUCUCCUGCCUGCAUGUAUUCGUUGUAAGCCAGAAUGGUGAAAGCUUGGGGUUGAACUGGAGACCUCUGGAAGAGCAGCCAGUACUCCUAACCUCCGAGCCAUCUCUCCAACCCCAGUAUUCUUAAAUAUAUGUCAAUAUAUGUGAAUAUUAUUAAAUAUAUGUGAGUAUAUUUGAGAUCUGGACAUUUGACGCCAUAUAAAAUUAGUUUAGACUCAGGGUCUCUUGUAUCUCCUGCUGGCUCCGGAACUCCUAAGCAGCUAAGGAAUGACCUUGAACUGCAGAACUUUCUGCCUCCACAAUGGGAGUUACAGAAAUGUUCCAUCACGCCUGUUUUUAUAUGGUGCGGUGGAUAAGCCGGCCAUUUGUGCACCAUAGCCACACACUGCCAACUGAGUUAGAUUCCCAGCUGUGAUGGCAUCUAAAAUUUAUGCUACAUAUGAAACUUCUGACAAGUGACUCCCACAAUUAUUUUGGGAACAGUACAUAUUAACCUGGAGACUACUAACCAUGUGGUAAAUGGCAAGAGAAGGGAAGAGGGUCUGACAAUAAUCUGAACCCUUUAUUGAAUGUCAUUGCAAUGGUUCUUUUCAUUUCAAAAUUUUGCUUAUGUAUCAUUACAUAUCUACUUAGUACCCUUCGGAUCCGGCCUAGAACAAAUGAGAACGUUGACACCAGUCUGUGAAAGGAAGAGUAACACUAAUGCCAUCAUAUCUUGAUUUGGAGGAAAUCAAUACGGAGAAACGUAACUCACCAAAAGGAGACUACUUGUUCGGGCUUCCCAAGAAUUUCUGCUAAUACUACCUCCCAUACCACUCCAGAAUAAGUUAGAACCUAUGGGAAAAACAGAAGCAUGAGGUAGCCAAUUACUUACUAUUAAAAUGAACAAUCUGAAUAGUUCAUCAUCAGCCUCAGAGAUUUCAUGUAGACUUCUAAGGCAGUGAACACUCUUGUAUUUUAGCAUCUAAGCAAGUCCUUAUACCAAAAUAAGAUGUGGUUGACUAUAAUAAUGAACAAGCAAUGAACAUGCUGGCAGAGGCACACUUGGCCCUCAGAAUGUACUUUAUAAUGGAUGGGAAUAAAUCACAUUACAGAAGUGGCCAAAAUUUCCAGACAUAGCUACUGUGUGAAGUACAUAGUACAUAAGAGUUGCACUACUCUUCCUUGUCCCACACCACUGAAUGGAAGAAUGGACCUACCACGAAGUCUGUCGUCAUUCUCAGAGAAAAAGAAAAAUCUAAUGGCCUCAUUCUCAGGAACCGCUUCUCUGAAAACACGAGGGAGAAAGGGCAGAAAUUACUUUCAAUAUUUAAGAAGAUUAUUACAGCUGGUGUGACAGUGUGUGCUUAUAAUUUGGAAAGCAGAGGCAGAAGGAUGAGGAAUUCCAGGCAGCCUUAGCUAUAUAAGGAGUUCAAGAGAAGUUUAGGCAAUAUAAGUCUGGUCUAAAACAAAAACAAGAAACCCAGGCAACAAGCAAAAUAAAAACAGGAAAAAUAAUAGUGAAAUUGUAAAAUGUUCCUUUUAAAAAGUUGCUCUGCACUUUGCUCAUGUUAUAAAAUGACCACACCCCAUCCUCCAUCUAAAGUUUUGAUAUUGAGGAAUUAAGUAUGUACUCUAGAUGUCAAUACUCAUUCCCACUGUUACCCUGUUUGCCAGUGUUCUCUAGCUGGCACCUAACUCAGCUAGAGCAUCUGAUUUCCAAACCAGGAGUGUUACCAUCAGCCUUACUGCUGGCACACACUUCACCUGCCACCAGUUGCCUGAAAAUCACUGUUAAAAAAAAAGGUUAAGAGCUGGAGAGAUGGCUCAGCGGUUAAGAGCACUGACUACUCUUCAAGAAGUCCUAGCAACCACAUGGUGGCUCACAACCAUCUGUAAUGGGAUCUGACACCCUCUUCUGGUGUGUCUGAGACAGCUAUCGUGAACUUAUAUACAUAAAAUAAAUAAAUCUUAAAAAAAAAAGAAUUCUGAACAGAAACUGAUAAAAUUUGUUCCAGAUACUUGCAUAAUGCUACUGAAGCAUGCCUGACUCUAACUUUAUAAACCACGACACAUGCUUACACAUAAACAGCUUACCCAGGGCUUGGCUUGCUAUGAUCUGCUUCUUCAGCAAUAUCUUCUUCUUCUGAACUACUGUCUUGGAAUCGGGGAUCAUUUGGACAGACUAUCUUCCCAUGUUUCACUAGUUCGAUUCUAUAGGUGGCUAUAUUAUUAUGACAAUAAAAGGUAAUGCAAUUAUGGCUGAGCAACCACGUAUUUAUGAACACAGUAAAAUUAUUACCUGUACUAUGUAAACAUGACUAAAUUUUAAUAUGUUAAAACCAGAUACCAUCACUUUUUUCCUCCAAUUUUGGAGUUCAAAUCCAAAUGAGAGGCAAAUACGCUACCACUGACCUGUGGAUGUACUUCCUAAAAUAAGUAACAUUAUCUUUUUCAACUUUUUUUUUUUUUUGAGACAGACUGUGUAGCCCUGGCUGUCCUGGAACUCACUCUAUAGACCAGGAUGGUCUCGAACACAGAAAUCCACCUGCCUCUGCCUCCUGAGUGCUGGGAUUAAAGGCAUGCGCCACCACACCCAGCUUAUCUUUUUCAAUUUUAAAAUACUAAAAGCUACUGUUUAGAGUCAUCACAUGAGGAAUAUAAAAUUAUAAAAAGAGCUAAAAGCUAAAGAUUUAUAGAUGAGUAGUAUAAUUUUCAAAGAACAGGUAACCACUGCCUAAGUGCUGUUAAAAGAAGUCUAUAGUGCCAGGCAUGGGGCAUACACCUUUAGUCUUAGCACUUGGGAGGCACAGUCAAGUGAAUCUCUGUGAGUUUGAGGCCAGAGUGGUCUACAUAAUGAGUUCCAGAACAACUAGUGCUAUGUAAAGACCCUGUCUCAAAAAAACAUUAAAAAAAUAAAUAAAUAAAAUUUAAAAAAAAAAGAAAAAAAAACAAAGCCGGGCGUGGUGGUUCAUGCCUUUAAUCCCAGCACUUGGAAGGCAGAGGCAGGCGGAUUUCUGAGUUCGAGGCCAGCCUAGUCUACAGAGCGAGUUCCAGGACAGCCAGGGCUACACAGAGAAACCCUGUCUCGAAAAACCAAAAAAAAGAGAGAGAGAAAAAAAGAGGCCUACAACUUAAGAUGCACUGAAACCUGAGUCUUUUCCUGCUUAUUCAUAUACAAGAAAAGGAACUCAUGUUUAUGUUUUUGUUUUCGACUCUCAAAACUGCUUUCUAGAACUGCAGUGAGAUUUGUCUGCAUGAUCACUCAUGAGUCUCCAAGUUUCCAGCUUCUUAAAAAAUAGACUGUAUCUAAGACUAAACAUAGGCCCACUUUACUUCUCACACUUGGCACUCACAGUUACAGUAUUUGAGUUCAUAUUCCAUUUAGUUGUCAGUCAAACUAAAUGCACAGAAAAACAUCAAGUAGAACACAGCAUACAUCUUAUUUAUGUUUUGGAAAAGCUACUAUAGUUUCUGUAGCUAUUUUAGGAGUAGCCCAGUGCUGAAAGUAGGCAUGUAUCUGUAAACACAUAGUGCUUUUAAAUUGUAUUAAAUCUGUACAUGUGCCAGUGAGUAUACAUGCGCUCAGAGCUAAAGAAUUGGAUCCCCUUGGAGAUGGAGUUACAGGAGGUCAUGAGCAACCUAAUGUGGGUGCUGGAACCAAACCUGGGUAGUCUGCAAGAAUAAAACAUGUUCCUAACUGCUGGGCUACCUCUAAGCCCCAUGCACUCUGUUUUAAAUGCGCAUCUUUAAAGCACAUCACUGAAGUUAGCAGUGUACAUCUGAUGCUAGAUAGAGUCAUCUUGCCUUUUAUAGGAAACUCCCACAAUGUUGGACAUACACCUUGAAUACAGGUAAGGAACAGUCUUCUAAACGAAGUCUUAAUCAGGUGUGGCACACAAGAG